RNAcentral lists this ribosomal RNA (452 nucleotides) under uncultured soil bacterium. Its description in RNAcentral is "bacterial SSU rRNA". It matches the Rfam family "Bacterial small subunit ribosomal RNA", at positions 26 to 523 of the family's 1533-position model. The record is from RNAcentral.
AGAACGAACGCUGGCGGCAUGCCUAAUACAUGCAAGUCGAACGAACUCUUCGGAGUUAGUGGCGCACGGGUGCGUAACGCGUGGGAAUCUGCCCUUGGGUUCGGAAUAACAGUUGGAAACGACUGCUAAUACCGGAUGAUGACGAAAGUCCAAAGAUUUAUCGCCCAGGGAUGAGCCCGCGUAGGAUUAGCUAGUUGGUGAGGUAAAGGCUCACCAAGGCGACGAUCCUUAGCUGGUCUGAGAGGAUGAUCAGCCACACUGGGACUGAGACACGGCCCAGACUCCUACGGGAGGCAGCAGUAGGGAAUAUUGGACAAUGGGCGAAAGCCUGAUCCAGCAAUGCCGCGUGAGUGAUGAGGCCUUAGGGUUGUAAAGCUUCUUUACCCGAGAUGAUAAUGACAGUAUCGGAAGAAGUUAACGCCCCGGCUAACCUCCGUGCCAGCAGCCCGUAC